Molecule: ribosomal RNA, 468 nt
Filed under: uncultured bacterium
Lineage: Bacteria
Description: partial 16S ribosomal RNA
Rfam family: Bacterial small subunit ribosomal RNA
Source: RNAcentral
GAUGAACGCUGGCGGCGUGCUUAACACAUGCAAGUCGAACGGUGAAGGCGGAGCUUGCUCUGCUGGAUCAGUGGCGAACGGGUGAGUAACACGUGGGCAAUCUGCCCCUGACUCUGGGAUAAGCGCUGGAAACGGCGUCUAAUACUGGAUACGAGCUGCGAAGGCAUCUUCAGCAGCUGGAAAGAACUUCGGUCAGGGAUGAGCUCGCGGCCUAUCAGCUUGUUGGUGAGGUAACGGCUCACCAAGGCGUCGACGGGUAGCCGGCCUGAGAGGGUGACCGGCCACACUGGGACUGAGACACGGCCCAGACUCCUACGGGAGGCAGCAGUGGGGAAUAUUGCACAAUGGGCGAAAGCCUGAUGCAGCAACGCCGCGUGAGGGACGACGGCCUUCGGGUUGUAAACCUCUUUUAGCAGGGAAGAAGCGAAAGUGACGGUACCUGCAGAAAAAGCGCCGGCUAACUACGUG